RNAcentral lists this ribosomal RNA (253 nucleotides) under uncultured bacterium. RNAcentral describes it as "partial 16S ribosomal RNA". It matches the Rfam family "Bacterial small subunit ribosomal RNA", at positions 524 to 776 of the family's 1533-position model. The record is from RNAcentral.
UACGAAGGGGGCUAGCGUUGUUCGGAAUUACUGGGCGUAAAGCGCACGUAGGCGGGCGUGUCAGUCAGGGGUGAAAUCCCGGAGCUCAACUCCGGAACUGCCUCUGAUACAGCACGUCUUGAGUUCGAGAGAGGUGGGUGGAAUUCCUAGUGUAGAGGUGAAAUUCGUAGAUAUUCGGAAGAACACCAGUGGCGAAGGCGGCUCACUGGACUGGUAUUGACGCUGAGGUGCGAAAGCGUGGGGAGCAAACAGG